RNAcentral lists this long non-coding RNA (721 nucleotides) under Homo sapiens (human). RNAcentral describes it as "HSALNT0105241". The record is from RNAcentral. Lineage: Eukaryota; Metazoa; Chordata; Mammalia; Primates; Hominidae.
GCCGACUCCUCCCGCUAAGGCGGGAACACGCGGGGCCCAAGAUGGCGGCCAGCCGGUACCGGCGUUUUCUUAAGCUCUGUGAGGAAUGGCCAGUGGACGAGACCAAACGGGGCCGGGACUUGGGCGCUUACCUGCGACAGCGGGUAGCACAGGCCUUUCGGGAGGGAGAGAAUACCCAGGUUGGCGCUGCAGCUCUGGGAUUCAUUCAUUCAUAUAGCUCGUAUUUAUUGAGCACCUACCAUAUGCCUGGAACGGUGCUAGGGAAACAGCAGUGUUAAACAGGUGAAGUCCUGCCCGCAUGAAGUUUUACAUUGUAGUUCAGGACACAAUAAGCAGCUUAGCCCGAAACAGAGCCAAGCCAGCCCACCUAAAGGAGCAGGAGCACGCCCAGUGGCAUCAUUGUGACUGUACUGCUGAUUGGCUGGCAGCCUGGGGAGUGUCUGGCCCAGGUUAUACGAUACCCAGGGCCCUCACAUUAUUCAUGGUGGUCUUCACUGGCCCAAAGUGUAAAGAUCUUUAAGGCAAGAAUCUUAUCUAGUCCCAAUUCUACAAACCCGUGAACUUUCUAAAGCUGUACUCCCUGCAUAUUUUUAGUAUGAGCUUCCUGAAAAUAGAGAUGAUGCCAUUUUUAUCUUUCCCUCUCUCCCCUACGAGUGUCUAGCUAGUUCUUGGCCCAUAAAAAAACACUCAGUAAAUGUCUGAAUGGAUAAGUAAAUAAUUG